This is a small nuclear RNA of Nannospalax galili (Upper Galilee mountains blind mole rat), 104 nucleotides long. Lineage: Eukaryota; Metazoa; Chordata; Mammalia; Rodentia; Spalacidae. The record is from Ensembl.
GUGCUUGGUUUGGCAGCACAUAUGUUAAAACUGGAACAACACAGAGAUUAGCAUGGUCCCUGUACAAGGAUGACACACAAAUUCACGAAGAGUUUAAAAAAAUG